GAUGAACGCUGGCGGCGUGCCUAAUACAUGCAAGUCGAGCGAACGGACUAGAAGCUUGCAUUUCUGAUGUUAGCGGCGGACGGGUGAGUAACGCGUGGAUAACCUACCUAUAAGACUGGGAUAACUUCGGGAAACCGGAGCUAAUACCGGAUAAUAUUUUAAACCGCAUGGUUCAAAAGUGAAAGGCGGUCUUGCUGUCCCUUAUAGAUGGAUCCCGGCUGCUUUAGCAAGUGGGUAAGGUAACGGCUUACCAAGGCAACGAUCCAUAGCCGACCUGAGAGGGUGAUCGCCAACCCUGGAACUGAGACCCGGUCCAGACUCCUACGGGAGGCAGCAGUAGGGAAUCUUCGGCAUUGGGCGAAAGCCUGACGGGGCAACGCCGCGUGAGUGAUGAAGGUCUUCGGAUCGUAAGACUCUGUUAUAAGGGAAGAAGAUAAGUGUAAGUAACUGUGCACAUCUUGACGGUAACUAAUCAGAAAGCGACGGCUAACUACGUG
RNAcentral lists this ribosomal RNA (497 nucleotides) under uncultured bacterium. RNAcentral describes it as "partial 16S ribosomal RNA". It matches the Rfam family "Bacterial small subunit ribosomal RNA", at positions 28 to 507 of the family's 1533-position model. The record is from RNAcentral.